This 255-nucleotide ribosomal RNA is filed under the name uncultured bacterium. RNAcentral describes it as "partial 16S ribosomal RNA". The record is from RNAcentral.
CUGCUGCCUUCCGUAGGAGUUUGGGCCGUGUCUCAGUCCCAAUGUGGCCGUUCACCCUCUCAGGCCGGCUACUGAUCGUCGCCUUGGUGGGCCUUUACCCCGCCAACAAGCUAAUCAGACGCGGAUCCAUCGUAUACCACCGGAGUUUUUCACACUGCUUCAUGCGAAGCUGUGCGCUUAUGCGGUAUUAGCACCUAUUUCUAAGUGUUAUCCCCCAGUAUACGGCAGGUUCUCCACGCGUUACUCACCCGUCCG